CGGAAGCGGACUCGGCAUGAUGUCGCAUCCUGGGCCUACGUAGUUUGUCAGAAACAAACAUCAGAGUCAACGUAGUUCGGGGAAAUUGGAAACGGGCUCGCUAGGAUAUCGCAUCCCAUGCCUACGUAUCUCAUCUGGAAUGAGAAUCAGAGCUACCGUAUUUCGGCUAACGCAUGCCGAAACAAAACACAACACAAAGACGCUG
RNAcentral lists this long non-coding RNA (205 nucleotides) under Lathyrus oleraceus (garden pea). RNAcentral's name for it is "Pisum sativum (pea) long non-coding RNA (PSAT_LNC014469)". Lineage: Eukaryota; Viridiplantae; Streptophyta; Magnoliopsida; Fabales; Fabaceae. The record is from RNAcentral.